ACUGCUCAGUAACACGUAGUUAAUCUACUCUAAGGUCAGGCAUACCCUCGGGAAACUGAGGCUAACACCUGAUAAAAUAUACUCUCUGGAAUGAUAUAUAUUUGAAAUUCGUGCCUUAGAAUGAGACUGCGGCGGAUUAGGUUGUUGGCGGGGUAAAAGCCCACCAAGCCAGUGAUCCGUAAGGGCUCUUAGCGGAGAAGCCCUGAGAGGGAAUCUGAGACACUAUUCCCAGCCCUACGGGGUGCAGCAGUUAAGAAUAUUCUGCAAUGCGCGAAAGCGUGACAGAGUGAAUCAGAGUGAUUUUCAAUGAAAAUCUUUUGUGUAGUGUAAAAAGCUAUACGAAUAAGGACUGGGUAAGACGAGUGCCAGCCGCCGCGGUAAUACUCGCGGUCCAAGUCGCAGCCAUUUUUAUUGGGUCUAAAACAUCCGUAGCUUGUUUAAUAAGUUCUUUGUGAAAUCCUAUAUCUCAAAUAUAGAACGCGCAGAGAAUACUGUUAAGCUAGAGACUGGAAGACGUGAAAAGUACGAUUGAGGUAGCGGUAAAAUGUUUUAAUCUUAAUUGGACUAACAAGAGCGAAGGCAUUUCACGAGGACAGUUCUGACAGUAAGGGAUGAAGGCCAGGGGCGCAAAACGGAUUAGAUACCCGUGUAGUCCUGGCAGUAAACACUGCACACUAAACAUUAGUGCCUCCUCGAGAGGCAUUAGUGCUGUAGGGAAGCCGAAGAGUGUGCUACCUGGGAAGUAUAGUCGCAAGGCCGAAACUUAAAGGAAUUGGCGGGGGAG
Molecule: ribosomal RNA, 784 nt
Filed under: uncultured archaeon
Lineage: Archaea
Description: bacterial SSU rRNA
Rfam family: Archaeal small subunit ribosomal RNA
Source: RNAcentral